GACGAACGUUGGCGGCGUGCUUAAUACAUGCAAGUCCACUGAAGCAGUGGUAGCAAUAUCGCUGUGGAGGUGGCGCACGGGUGAGUAACACGUAGGUAAUCUGCCUUCAGGUCUGGCAUAACUCCGGGAAACCGGGGCUAAUAGCAGAUGAUGCAGCGGCUCGACAUCGAGACAGUUGUUAAAGCUAUGGCGCCUGAAGAUGAGCCUGCGUCUGAUUAGCUAGUUGGCGGGGUAACGGCCCACCAAGGCAACGAUCAGUAGCUGGUCUGAGAGGAUGAUCGGGCACACUGGAACUGAGACACGGUCCAGAAUACGACGGGAGGCAGCAGUAAGGAAUAUUGCUCAAUGGGAGACACAAUGAAGCAGCAACGCAGCGUGAGGGACGACGGGCGUUAGGUUGUCCACCUCUGUAGUGAGAGAAAAAAAUCCCAAUCUUUGGGACAUGAUGGUAACUCAAAAGUAAGCCCCGGCUAACUACGUG
RNAcentral lists this ribosomal RNA (481 nucleotides) under uncultured bacterium. RNAcentral describes it as "partial 16S ribosomal RNA". It matches the Rfam family "Bacterial small subunit ribosomal RNA", at positions 28 to 507 of the family's 1533-position model. The record is from RNAcentral.